RNAcentral lists this ribosomal RNA (497 nucleotides) under uncultured bacterium. RNAcentral describes it as "partial 16S ribosomal RNA". It matches the Rfam family "Bacterial small subunit ribosomal RNA", at positions 28 to 507 of the family's 1533-position model. The record is from RNAcentral.
GACGAACGCUGGCGGCGUGCCUAAUACAUGCAAGUAGAACGCUGAAGAGAGGAGCUUGCUCUUCUUGGAUGAGUUGCGAACGGGUGAGUAACGCGUAGGUAACCUGCCUUGUAGCGGGGGAUAGCUAUUGGAAACGAUAGCUAAUACCGCAUAACAAUGGAUGACACAUGUCAUUUAUUUGAAAGGGGCAAUUGCUCCACUACAAGAUGGACCUGCGUUGUAUUAGCUAGUAGGUGAGGUAAUGGCUCACCUAGGCGACGAUACAUAGCCGACCUGAGAGGGUGAUCGGCCACACUGGGACUGAGACACGGCCCAGACUCCUACGGGAGGCAGCAGUAGGGAAUCUUCGGCAAUGGGGGCAACCCUGACCGAGCAACGCCGCGUGAGUGAAGAAGGUUUUCGGAUUGUAAAGCUCUGUUGUAAGUCAAGAACGGGUGUGAGAGUGGAAAGUUCACACUGUGACGGUAGCUUACCAGAAAGGGACGGCUAACUACGUG